Molecule: ribosomal RNA, 318 nt
Filed under: Listeria monocytogenes
Lineage: Bacteria; Bacillati; Bacillota; Bacilli; Caryophanales; Listeriaceae
Description: bacterial SSU rRNA
Rfam family: Bacterial small subunit ribosomal RNA
Source: RNAcentral
UUUAAAGAGAGUUUGAUCCUGGCUCAGGACGAACGCUGGCGGCGUGCCUAAUACAUGCAAGUCGAACGAACGGAGGAAGAGCUUGCUCUUCCAAAGUUAGUGGCGGACGGGUGAGUAACACGUGGGCAACCUGCCUGUAAGUUGGGGAUAACUCCGGGAAACCGGGGCUAAUACCGAAUGAUAAAGUGUGGCGCAUGCCAUGCUUUUGAAAGAUGGUUUCGGCUAUCGCUUACAGAUGGGCCCGCGGUGCAUUAGCUAGUUGGUAGGGUAAUGGCCUACCAAGGCAACGAUGCAUAGCCGACCUGAGAGGGUGAUCGG